AUGGGGCGGCUGGUGGCUGUGGGCUUGCUGGGGAUCGCGCUGGCGCUCCUGGGCGAGAGGCUUCUGGCACUCAGAAAUCGACUUAAAGCCUCCAGAGAAGUAGAAUCUGUAGACCUUCCACACUGCCACCUGAUUAAAGGAAUUGAAGCUGGCUCUGAAGAUAUUGACAUACUUCCCAAUGGUCUGGCUUUUUUUAGUGUGAGACAGAGUCUUGCUAUGUUGCCCAGGCUGGUCUCAAACUGCUGGCCUCAAGCAGUCCUCCCACGUCAGCCUCCCAAAGUGCUGGAAUUAUAGGCAUGAGCCACCAGGCCUGACCUAAAGCUGUAGUAAUUUAAAAAGUGUUAUAUUGGCACAGGAAUAGACAUGAGACAUUAAAAUAACAAAACAGAGAGUCCCUAAAUAGACCAAUAUGUAAAUGUCAGAGAUCUAGCACAUGAUAAAGGUGAUAUUUUGAAUCAGUGGGAGAAGGAUGGACUGUAUGCCAGGCACUGUUCCAGGCACUGGGAUCUAGCAGUGAACAAAUUUCCACAGUCAGUAUGUAGAUGUCACUUUUCUCCACCCUCAGCUCU
This 569-nucleotide long non-coding RNA is filed under the name Homo sapiens (human). RNAcentral describes it as "non-protein coding lnc-PON3-2:4". Lineage: Eukaryota; Metazoa; Chordata; Mammalia; Primates; Hominidae. The record is from RNAcentral.